ACAAGCGGUGGAGCACGUGGUUUAAUUCGAUGCAAACCGAAGAACCUUACCUGGGUUUGACAUGUACGUGGUACGGAUAUGAAAGUUGAAGGACUCCGCUUUCGGGUGGAGAGCGUACACAGGUGCUGCAUGGCUGUCGUCAGCUCGUGUCGUGAGAUGUUAGGUUAAGUCCCGCAACGAGCGCAACCCCUGCAUUCAGUUGCCAUCGGGUGAAGCCGGGCACUCUGGAAGGACUGCCAUCGACAAGAUGGAGGAAGGUGGGGACGACGUCAAGUCAUCAUGGCCCUUAUGUCCAGGGCGACACACGUGCUACAAUGGCCGGCACAACGGGAAGCGAGUUCGCGAGGACGAGCGGAUCCCUUAAAGCCGGUCGCAGUUCGGAUUGAAGUCUGCAACUCGACUUCAUGAAGCUGGAAUCGCUAGUAAUCGCAGAUCAGCCAAGCUGCGGUGAAUACGUUCCCGGGCCUU
RNAcentral lists this ribosomal RNA (468 nucleotides) under uncultured Synergistaceae bacterium. Its description in RNAcentral is "bacterial SSU rRNA". It matches the Rfam family "Bacterial small subunit ribosomal RNA", at positions 925 to 1382 of the family's 1533-position model. The record is from RNAcentral. Lineage: Bacteria; Thermotogati; Synergistota; Synergistia; Synergistales; Synergistaceae.